This is a long non-coding RNA of Oncorhynchus masou masou (cherry salmon), 2792 nucleotides long. RefSeq lists it as uncharacterized. The transcript is spliced from 5 exons. Lineage: Eukaryota; Metazoa; Chordata; Actinopteri; Salmoniformes; Salmonidae. The record is from RefSeq and is a predicted model, not a curated record.
CGUGGAAAAUACGUCAACGUGCCACACGACCAGGGCAGAGGCAGUCGGUAUUGAUGCCGCUUUCAAAUACUAGUCUACUACUACUCGAAAAUGUCCGACUUGCUGAUUCGAUGUGGCACCUGUAUAACUACUGUUAGUACGUCGGAAAUUUCCGAGUUUCCUAGUUCCGACAGACGUGGUAUCAGAACGUAUACCAUGGGCUUAUCCUGGCAUGACGUUUUGAUAACCGCGCAAAUCUCUCUCGGACAAGAACUACACAUCCUGCCUCAAGCUUUGACGUCAUCACCCAAGGCACGUUGCUCCAUGCAAACUCAUCGCCAAGUAACAAGUAAACUACCAUGUAGAUACAUUAUUAUAGCCUUUGUAGUUUAUCGUGUAGUGUGUAUUUCUCGUGGUCUUGUUUAGUAUUCUUUUAAAUUAGCUAGCAACGUUUAGCAGUUUUUAAAAUUACUAGAUUUUCUACAUUUGUAUUGCCCUCUGGCCUUUUGUAGCGAACUAGCUAACCUUAGGUCUCCGUCGAUCAGAAGCAAGGAUGGUUCUGUGCUAUGUACCGGAUUGUAACCACUACUCCAAAAAGCACACACAUUGUAUUGUUUUCCGACCCCGAGAGACGUCGUUGGAGCAGUGUGAUAAGCAGAUUGAGGAUUCAAAACCUGCAGCUACUUGGUUCGCCCACAGCAUACCAUGGGUCAUCCUCAGUCAGUCUCAUCCUCCCCUGAAUGCAUGCUUCAGUAUCAGCAUCUCCAACUGGAGCAUCAAGCAAAGGCAUCAUGCCUGAAGCCUUCACCACAUCUGUAACAGACUUCUUAAAAUACGGCCAACAGGAGUGCACCACUCAGACCAUCCAGUGCAUGGACAUCCUGUGCCAGUGGUAUGAUAUGUGCCAGUGUGAUCCGAGCGCAACAGUCCAGUUGUAGAAUACAGCAGAUCGAGCCUGUGGACGGAGAGGUCAGUACUCAUCAAAUGUGAUACAAUGAAUUUGUAGAUAUAUCUGCACAGUAUGUUUGUGUAUGGUUCCCAUGAGUUAAGAUUGGGUGAUGAGGGACCACUUGUCACAUUGUCCAAGGUGAGUUUUGUGUUCUGAAAAACAAUGUGUUUUCUGUCCAGAUAAAGAUGGUGAUACAGCAUUGAAAAAGACCUACCACUGACCAAAUGUCUCUUUAGUUUUCCAGUCCAACAGGAGUGUAUCCUUCAGACCAUCCGGUGCAUAGACAUCCUGCGCCAGUGUGAUCUGAGCAUGAGCAUCCAGUUAUGGAGGAUACCAGUGGUGAAAAAAGUACUCAAUUGUCAUACUUGAGGAAAAGUAAAUAUACCUUAAUAGAAAAUGACUCAAGUGAAAGUCACCCAUUUUAAAUCUACUUGAGUGAAAGUCUAAAAGUAUUUGGUUUCAAAUAUACUUAAAGUAUCAAAAGUAAAUGUAAUUGCUCAAAUAUAAGUAUCAAAAGUAAGUCAUUUAAAAUUCCAUAUUAAGCAAACAAGACGGCAACAUUUUCUUAUUAUUUUAAUUUACGGAUAGCUAUGGGGCACGCUCCAACACUCAGACAUAAUUUACAAACAAAGCAUGUGUUUAGUGAGUCCGCCAGGAUCAGAGGCAGUAGGGUUGACAAGGAAUGUUCUCUUGGUGUGUGUGUGUGUGUGUGUGUGUGUGUGUGUGUGUGUGUGUGUGUGUGUGUGUGUGUGUGUGUGUGUGUGUGUGUGUGUGUGUGUGUGUGUGUGUGUGUGUGUGUGUGUGUGUGUGUGUGUGUGUGUGUGUGUGAAUUAGAUAAGUUUCCUGUCCUGCUAAGCAUUCAAAAUGUAACAAGGACUUUUGGGUGUCAGGGAAAAUGUAUGGAGUAAAAGUUGCAUGAUUUUCUUUAGGAAUGUAGUGAAGUAAAAGUUGUCAAAUAUAAAUAGUGGAUGGUCUUCAGAGGCUGUAAGACCCUCCCUCCUUGAUAUAGAAAUCAACUUCAAUGGUAAUGCCCCUGUGCCAUAAGGACACUUGACCUCUAACCACUGCAGUGGUGCUCACCAGACCAUCCAGUGAGGCUCCCAGGACCGAAAGCCCUGACUCCCACACAUCCAUCCCUGUAGCCAUUUUGAAUGCCUGAUGCCCUCCUCUUUAUGUGCCCCACUUUACAGACAACACCCCAUCCAUUGAGUGUGAUCUGAGGACCCUGCUCCACCGACAGCACCAUGCCAGCCUGGUUGCCUGCAUGCCCCAGGUGCCCUUGUUUUUGAACAAUGUCUGAUACAGGGAGGGUUGCGGUUGUUCUAGCUCAGGUCCAAGGAGACAUGUCAUUCCACUGAACCUUCCCUUGGGAUGGUUCCUUAGCCACUGAAGAUCCUCCUCUGUGGGCUCCCGGGACAGAGGAUUUGUAGUCUUCGGCCAGGUACCGUUCCUCCACUGACUGGGCCUGGCUGGCUUCCUCACACUCCACAUCCAUACAGCUGAUAUUGUGAACUGCCAAAAUAGGCUGCAUGGCUACACUUAUGAGCUCCAUGGAGGCAUUUGCAUGUGGUAGAGAAUUACCUGGUCACUUAUUAUAGAGACCUGACAAGCGGAAGGAUGUUGGAUGUUAAGUGCCACAUUCCUUUCUGUGCUUGACUUUGAACACCCUGAAAUGCAUUUGUUUUAAGGGUGCUAUAUAAGAAGUUUGACAUUACAACUGUAGAAUAUUUCAACUGUAAUUUUCACAAGGACAGUGCAGUUUUUCCAUAAACCUUUAAUUGAUAACUUGAUUUUCACUUGACAUAUCAGUCAGUGCAAAGGAUCCCAUAAUCAAGACUGAAUAAAUAAAUUGUUUUUGAAGCUU